Molecule: non-coding RNA, 697 nt
Organism: Camelina sativa (false flax)
Lineage: Eukaryota; Viridiplantae; Streptophyta; Magnoliopsida; Brassicales; Brassicaceae
Source: RefSeq, a predicted model, not a curated record
AGAAAGAGAAAGAGAAAAAAGCCUCCCUUUGAAAGAGGAUUUUGAAGCAUCCAAGAGAAGGAAGCUUAAGAGGGAGCAACAGGUUUCAUCUGCAGAGCCAGGGGAAUAUUCUCCCAUGCCACCACAUCAAUCCUCUUUAUCGACUGGUAUGGGACCAUCAUCGUACGAAGGCAGAGAGCGAAAGAGCAGUAGUAUGAUUCAACACGGAGGUUAUCUUGAAGAGCCAAGCAUCAGACUUGUUGGAAAAGAAGCUUCCAGCAAGAUGGCUCGCCGUGAUCCCGAACCAAUGUAUGACCGUGAAUGGGAAGAGGAGAAGAGGCAGAGAGCAGAACGGAAGCGGAGAGAUCGGAAGUAGGUAGACAGUGAUGAACUCGCAUAUACUUGGGUUUGUUCAAUGAAGAGAGAGACAAAUGGCUGGUACUGAACACUGCAUUUUCUGUACACGUACUGUUAACCAUUCCAUGGCUAUGCGGUCUACUUUGUCUUGUGGCUCAGCCGAGUUUGACAAUGACUUUGCAAGACUUGAGAUAUGCUCAUACCAAAUUCGCAAUUUUAUUUUUCAGAUUUUUGUAUGGAGAAGCUUGUAAAACUAUAGCUAGCGAGGGAAAUUGAUAGUGUAACAACAUAUCAAAUUUUGUUUUAGCGUUUUCUCAAUUGUUAUAAAACAGUGGGGAAAAAACUUCCGAGUGAAUGAAUA